UACGUAGGGGGCAAGCGUUGUCCGGAUUUAUUGGGCGUAAAGAGCGUGUAGGCGGCCCGGUAAGUCCGUUGUGAAAGUCGAGGGCUCAACCCUCGAAUGCCGGCGGAUACUGUCGGGCUAGAAUCCGGAAGAGGCGAGUGGAAUUCCUGGUGUAGCGGUGAAAUGCGCAGAUAUCAGGAGGAACACCUAUGGCGAAGGCAGCUCGCUGGGACGGUAUUGACGCUGAGACGCGAAAGCGUGGGGAGCGAACAGG
RNAcentral lists this ribosomal RNA (253 nucleotides) under uncultured bacterium. Its description in RNAcentral is "partial 16S ribosomal RNA". It matches the Rfam family "Bacterial small subunit ribosomal RNA", at positions 524 to 776 of the family's 1533-position model. The record is from RNAcentral.